Megalopta genalis is the source of this 822-nucleotide non-coding RNA. Lineage: Eukaryota; Metazoa; Arthropoda; Insecta; Hymenoptera; Halictidae. The record is from RefSeq and is a predicted model, not a curated record.
GACAGAGCCUGGUCUCUUCAGCGGCGAAAAAUACGCUGCGGCAAAGCAUGGCAGCGUGGCCAGCAAAGUGGAAAAGAUUUAUCGAGAGAGCGUUGGCCAGUUAGAGGAUCGAAGGAAGAGAAGAUCAGCGCGCAGAGCGGAGCAGAACGGAGCAGAGCGGAGCGCGGAGCAGCGCGAUUCGGGCCACCCAUCCAGCUGAUUGCACACCGAUAAACGCAUUAUUUAAUUACCGAGGAAUCUUGAACAAAAGCGAAUGAUCCGGCGAGCAUGGAGCAAUUUUGAUGGAAAGUGUCGCGAUAAAUCGAGCAUCGAUUCCGAUGCGCAAAAUUUGCAAUUAAGUGCUUUCUUAUUUUGACUUAUUCUAUAGCACGUUUACUAUUAUUGCACAUGUAUCAUUUUCCAGGAGGAAUCUUGAACAAAAGCGAAUGAUCCGGCGAGCAUAGAGCAAUUUUGAUGGAAAGUGUCGCGACAAAUCGAGCAUCGAUUCCGAUGCGCAAAAUUUGCAAUUAAGUGCCAUGUACCAUUUUCCAGGAGGAAUCUUGAACAAAAGCGAAUGAUCCGGCGAGCAUGGAGCAAUUUUGAUGGAAAGUGUCGCGAUAAAUCGAGCAUCGAUUCCGAUGCGCAAAAUUUGCAAUUAAGUGCCAUGUACCAUUUUCCAGGAGGAAUCUUGAACAAAAGCGAAUGAUCCGGCGAGCAUGGAGCAAUUUUGAUGGAAAGUGUCGCGAUAAAUCGAGCAUCGAUUCCGAUGCGCAAAAUUUGCAAUUAAGUGCCAUGUACCAUUUUCCAGGAGGAAUCUUGAAUAAAAGCGAAUGAUCCGGCGAG